Molecule: transfer RNA, 74 nt
Filed under: marine sediment metagenome
Description: tRNA-OTHER
Rfam family: tRNA
About the family: Transfer RNA (tRNA) molecules are approximately 80 nucleotides in length. Their secondary structure includes four short double-helical elements and three loops (D, anti-codon, and T loops).
Source: RNAcentral
UGGCGGGUAGCUCAGUAAUGGGAGAGCGCCGGGCAGGUGUCCGGAGGUCGCUGGUUCGAAUCCGGCCCCGCCUA